Molecule: non-coding RNA, 26 nt
Filed under: Homo sapiens (human)
Lineage: Eukaryota; Metazoa; Chordata; Mammalia; Primates; Hominidae
Source: RNAcentral
UAGGAAAGGCUUUAGAUACUGAGGGC